Molecule: ribosomal RNA, 1397 nt
Filed under: Microbacterium sp. Y7
Lineage: Bacteria; Bacillati; Actinomycetota; Actinomycetes; Micrococcales; Microbacteriaceae
Description: bacterial SSU rRNA
Rfam family: Bacterial small subunit ribosomal RNA
Source: RNAcentral
CAUGCAAGUCGAACGGUGAAGCCCAGCUUGCUGGGUGGAUCAGUGGCGAACGGGUGAGUAACACGUGAGCAAUCUGCCCCUGACUCUGGGAUAAGCGCUGGAAACGGCGUCUAAUACUGGAUACGAACCGUGGAGGCAUCUUCAACGGUUGGAAAGAUUUUUUGGUCAGGGAUGAGCUCGCGGCCUAUCAGCUUGUUGGUGAGGUAAUGGCUCACCAAGGCGUCGACGGGUAGCCGGCCUGAGAGGGUGACCGGCCACACUGGGACUGAGACACGGCCCAGACUCCUACGGGAGGCAGCAGUGGGGAAUAUUGCACAAUGGGCGAAAGCCUGAUGCAGCAACGCCGCGUGAGGGAUGACGGCCUUCGGGUUGUAAACCUCUUUUAGCAGGGAAGAAGCGAAAGUGACGGUACCUGCAGAAAAAGCGCCGGCUAACUACGUGCCAGCAGCCGCGGUAAUACGUAGGGCGCAAGCGUUAUCCGGAAUUAUUGGGCGUAAAGAGCUCGUAGGCGGUUUGUCGCGUCUGCUGUGAAAUCCCGAGGCUCAACUUCGGGUCUGCAGUGGGUACGGGCAGACUAGAGUGCGGUAGGGGAGAUUGGAAUUCCUGGUGUAGCGGUGGAAUGCGCAGAUAUCAGGAGGAACACCGAUGGCGAAGGCAGAUCUCUGGGCCGUAACUGACGCUGAGGAGCGAAAGGGUGGGGAGCAAACAGGCUUAGAUACCCUGGUAGUCCACCCCGUAAACGUUGGGAACUAGUUGUGGGGUCCAUUCCACGGAUUCCGUGACGCAGCUAACGCAUUAAGUUCCCCGCCUGGGGAGUACGGCCGCAAGGCUAAAACUCAAAGGAAUUGACGGGGACCCGCACAAGCGGCGGAGCAUGCGGAUUAAUUCGAUGCAACGCGAAGAACCUUACCAAGGCUUGACAUAUACGAGAACGCUGCAGAAAUGUAGAACUCUUUGGACACUCGUAAACAGGUGGUGCAUGGUUGUCGUCAGCUCGUGUCGUGAGAUGUUGGGUUAAGUCCCGCAACGAGCGCAACCCUCGUUCUAUGUUGCCAGCACGUCAUGGUGGGAACUCAUGGGAUACUGCCGGGGUCAACUCGGAGGAAGGUGGGGAUGACGUCAAAUCAUCAUGCCCCUUAUGUCUUGGGCUUCACGCAUGCUACAAUGGCCGGUACAAAGGGCUGCAAUACCGUGAGGUGGAGCGAAUCCCAAAAAGCCGGUCCCAGUUCGGAUUGAGGUCUGCAACUCGACCUCAUGAAGUCGGAGUCGCUAGUAAUCGCAGAUCAGCAACGCUGCGGUGAAUACGUUCCCGGGUCUUGUACACACCGCCCGUCAAGUCAUGAAAGUCGGUAACACCUGAAGCCGGUGGCCCAACCCUUGUGGAGGGAGCCGUCGAA